UACGUACAUGAUGACAACUGGCUCCCUCUACCAGACUAUCAUGAGGAAAAUUCCAUGAGAAAAAGAA
RNAcentral lists this small nucleolar RNA (67 nucleotides) under Erinaceus europaeus (western European hedgehog). RNAcentral's name for it is "Small nucleolar RNA SNORD100 (ENSEEUG00000022590.1)". Lineage: Eukaryota; Metazoa; Chordata; Mammalia; Eulipotyphla; Erinaceidae. The record is from RNAcentral.